Molecule: ribosomal RNA, 474 nt
Filed under: uncultured bacterium
Lineage: Bacteria
Description: bacterial SSU rRNA
Rfam family: Bacterial small subunit ribosomal RNA
Source: RNAcentral
UGGCGGCAUGCCUUACACAUGCAAGUCGAACGGCAGCACGGGAGCAAUCCUGGUGGCGAGUGGCGAACGGGUGAGUAAUAUAUCGGAACGUGCCCGGUCGUGGGGGAUAACGUAGCGAAAGCUACGCUAAUACCGCAUACGAUCUACGGAUGAAAGCGGGGGAUCGCAAGACCUCGCGCGAUUGGAGCGGCCGAUAUCAGAUUAGGUAGUUGGUGAGGUAAAGGCUCACCAAGCCGACGAUCUGUAGCUGGUCUGAGAGGACGACCAGCCACACUGGGACUGAGACACGGCCCAGACUCCUACGGGAGGCAGCAGUGGGGAAUUUUGGACAAUGGGCGCAAGCCUGAUCCAGCAAUGCCGCGUGCAGGAUGAAGGCCUUCGGGUUGUAAACUGCUUUGUACGGAACGAAACGGUGAGCUCUAAUACAGUUUGCUAAUGACGGUACCGUAAGAAUAAGCACCGGCUAACUACGUG